RNAcentral lists this ribosomal RNA (411 nucleotides) under uncultured bacterium. Its description in RNAcentral is "bacterial SSU rRNA". It matches the Rfam family "Bacterial small subunit ribosomal RNA", at positions 355 to 776 of the family's 1533-position model. The record is from RNAcentral.
UCGAGGAUCUUCGGCAAUGGGCGAAAGCCUGACCGAGCGACGCCGCGUGAGCGAUGAAGGCCAUUAGGUUGUAAAGCUCUGUCGAGGGGGAACAAGCCGCAAGGUUGAGUGAUCCCUGGAGGAAGCACGGGCUAAGUUCGUGCCAGCAGCCGCGGUAAGACGAACCGUGCGAACGUUGUUCGGAAUCAUUGGGCUUAAAGGGCGCGUAGGCGGGUGUUCAAGUCCGGGGUGAAAGCCUCCAGCUCAACUGGAGAAGAGCCCCGGAUACUGUUCACCUGGAGAGAGAUAGGGGCACAUGGAACUUCCGGUGGAGCGGUGAAAUGCGUAGAGAUCGGAAGGAACGCCGGUGGCGAAAGCGAUGUGCUGGAUCUUUUCUGACGCUGAGGCGCGAAAGCUAGGGGAGCAAACGGG